Molecule: ribosomal RNA, 392 nt
Filed under: Rhyssoleptoneta sp. 1 HZ-2020
Lineage: Eukaryota; Metazoa; Arthropoda; Arachnida; Araneae; Leptonetidae
Description: partial large subunit ribosomal RNA
Rfam family: Bacterial large subunit ribosomal RNA
Source: RNAcentral
UAGCCGCAGAAUACUGUGCUAAGGUAGCAUAAUCAUUUGUUCUCUAAUUAAGAUCUAGAAUGAAAGGUAAAACGAAUUAAAAAUUAUAAUAAAAAUUCAAAACAAAACUCAAUUAGAAAUUAAAAUGUUUCUACAAAAUAAAAAGACGACAAGACCCUAUCGAACUUAACCUAUGUUAAACUGGGGCAGUUAAAAAACAAAAACUUUAAUUAAAAUAACACUUAUAAACCUUUUAAUAAAAAUAACAAGCUACCGUAGGGAUAACAGCGCAAUUUACUUUUAAAGCUCUUAUUAAAAAGAACGAUUACGACCUCGAUGUUGAAUUAAUAUAUCUAAUAGGAGCAAAAUCCUAAAAGAAAGUCUGUUCGACCUUUAAAAAAUUACAUGAUCUG